Molecule: non-coding RNA, 29 nt
Filed under: Rattus norvegicus (Norway rat)
Lineage: Eukaryota; Metazoa; Chordata; Mammalia; Rodentia; Muridae
Source: RNAcentral
UGCUAGCACACUUGCAUACUCAUCAAGAC